Molecule: RNA transcript, 3270 nt
Organism: Nasonia vitripennis (jewel wasp)
Lineage: Eukaryota; Metazoa; Arthropoda; Insecta; Hymenoptera; Pteromalidae
Gene name: CDKAL1-like protein
Exons: 2
Source: RefSeq, marked validated
CAGAUAAUAACGCAAUUGACGCGGUACAAGAAUCAGGGUAUUAUGACAACCGCACCUAUGAUCAAUUUGUUGACUCAUGCUUGCAAUUAUCCCUUGAAAAAAGUAAAAAUUUAAGAGAUAAUGCUAUAAAUAUCGUUCCAGAUGAUCAAGACCACAACAUGAAAGAAACAGAGAACGUCGAAGACGAACAUGAAUUAUGUUAUUCAGGGGAAGGUUUAAAUGAAGGCGUGUUAAAUAUGAGCGUCACCGAUGCUAAUGAUAUAAUUAAUUUCGCGUGGAUAUGGCAGAAACUUCAUGAUUCAUACAAUAACCACGAUACUCUUUAUGCCUGCAAUUUUAGGAAUUUAAAACUGAUUGGCACUUUCAGAAAAGGAUUGACAAGAUAUUUUACUUUUAAGUGCGAUAUGUGUGCUUACACAGUAACAAUAUCUGGAGUGUGCGAUAAUCCGGAUGAGAUAGAACCUGCGGUUGGUGCAGCAUUGGGAUGUCAGCAUGUUGGUACAGGACUUUCUCAAUUCAAUGAAUUGAUUGGCAUGUUAGGUAUUCAAAGUUUGAAUUACUACAUCUGGCAAAAAGCACACUCCAAAGCUGCGAUUUAUGUCAAAGAAGCAUCUAAGAAUGAAAUGGCUAAAGCUGCAGCUGAAGAGAGGAGUCUCGCAAUUGAACGUGGUGACGUUGUUUAUGAUAUACCGUGCACAAUGGUUGAAGGUGAUGGAUCAUACCUAAAACGCACGUACAUGUAUGGUAAAUAUGAUUCAUCAGCGUGUUGUGUCGUAAUAAUUGGCAGAUAUACUAAAAAAGUACUGCAGAUUAUUGUAAAAUAAAAAACAUGCGCGAUUUGUGAUUAUGCUUCAAGCAAAAAUAUAACUCCUAAAGAACACACUUGCUAUCGGAAUCAUGGGAAGAAUCAAAGCUCGACUAGCAUGGAAAGCGCUGCAAUGGCAGAGGCAUUCGCAAGUAGUGUUAAAGAGCAUAAUUUAAUCUAUAAUGUAUUGAUUUCUGAUGGAGAUAGCAGUAACUAUAAAUCAAUUUUAGACAGUAAUCCUUACGGAGAGUAUGGUGUUGAAGUUAGAAAUAUACUUUGUACGAACCAUAUUUUAAGAAAUGUUUCAACAAGCAUCAAAGUUCUUUCGAAAACUAAAGGUCGACUAGGGCAAUUAAGAAAGAAAAUUGAAGAUAGUGCACCUCGUUUCAUUGAAGCAAUUGGACAAUGCGUUCAGACUAUAACUGAAGAAGAUAUUUCUUGGGAGUUCAAAUGUAAAGCUCUACGAGAUAAUAUCAAUAAGUUACCCUGUCACAUUUUUGGCGAUCACAGUUAAUGUGAAAAUAAUAAGUAUGGGUGUAGUGGUCAGGCAGUUGGCAACGAAGAAAAUGUUGUUACAGCUUUACGGGAAGCUAAUCUCAUGGAUGACGUUGAGCAGUGCGUUUUUCGAGCUGCUAAUAAUGCAUCAAGCUUACUUCACAACGUUACAACGAACAGAUCAGAAAGUUUUAAUGCGCUUAUAGCAAAAGCGAUUGGUGCAAAACGUCUCCAUCUGUGUAAAAAAGAUUCAUAUGCAACCCGUUGCCAUGUUGCCGCAAUAUCACAAAACACUGGAUCAACAAUUAGUCCAAUUUGCGAAGCAGCAGAGAAGCAAGUCCCAAGUUGCGCAGAAUUUCUUCAGCAAAAACGGCAAAGAUUGAGUGCAUUACGACAAUUAAGAAUGGCUAAUAGAGAUACGGUUGAAGAGAAGAUCAAUAAAGCUUAUCGUAAAGCUGAUAAAGUUUAUGGUCUGAAUGCCCAUCAGCCUGAUAUAAAUAAAGAAGAAUUUUCAGAUCGUGUCAAGCAACAUUAUGCUAUUCUGAACGCAUGGCGUCUCGAGAGAGACGCUAUUGAAAGCCGAACGAGGAAUCAAAGCGAAUGCAACGAAUGGAGGUCUAUGCGAAAAUGGUUGGUAACUGCAUCUAGAAUGGGAAAAAUAUGUAAAAAACGUCCUGAAACCUCAUGUGCAUCGUUCAUUUCAGAUAUAUCGUAUCCUCAAACGUUAAAAGAUCUGGCAUUAGACUAUGGUAUCGCUAUGGAGUUUGUUGCUAAAAAAGUUUUAACAGAUCUCGGGUACGAUGUGCAGCCAUGUGGACUAUUUUUGGACCCAGAAGUCCUUGGAAUAGCAGCAUCCCCUGAUGGUUUAAUAGGUGUAGAUGGAAUACUUGAAAUAAAAUGUCCAUUUACGGCAAUGCAUAUGGAUCCAGAAAUUGCUAUCAAAGACAAGAAGUUACAUAUCGGCAAAGCUUUUCGUAUAGAAAAUAACGAAGUGAUUCUUAAAGAAAGUCACGAAUAUUAUUACCAAAUACAAGGUCAACUACGUGUAACCAAUAGAAAAUAUUGCUUAUUCGUUAUAUUUACUUUUGUUGGUAUAAAAAUGAUGGUGAUUGAAAGAAAUGAUGAAUUUAUUGAAGAAAUGAUAGUUCAAAUUGCCCAGUUCUAUCGGGAUUGUUUAUUACCUGAAAUAAUAGAUAGUAGAAGAAAAAGACGUAUGCCUUUGCGAGAACCAGAGUAUAUACUGCAAGUUCAAGAAGAAGGAAAGCAACGACAGCAGCUACGAAAUGAAGCUAAGAAAAAUAAAGAAAACGAAAGUAAAGAAACAAAAGCGACGAAAAUGAGUACCACACAAAAAAAGAAAAAGGCUUCAAAUGCAAAUGCUAAUAAAAAAGGAUUGAAGAGGAAAGCACUGGAGAAUGAUGAAGAAAUUUCACAAGCUAAAAAGUUAGUUCAAGAAGUCGAAACUAUUGAAAAUAGUGGUAAUGCCGCUUGUGAUAUUGACAUUAAUAAUCGAGCUUGUAAUAGCAAUGAAAUAAAAAAAGCUACUACGAAUGUAAAUAAAAAUGAAAAUAGUACUAACGUUUCGUUUAAACGAAAAGUCCCACAGAAAAAAUUGUCAGCUGUUGAAAAUAAUAUUCGAGAAGUGGAAAAAACUUUAGAAGAAUUAGGAUUAAAUGAUAAAAAAGAUAGCGAAAAUAAAUCAGAUGUAGACUUCGAUGUGCCCUUGACUGCAGACAUGAUCCAUAAACAAUGCCAGGCGAUUUUCGAAAGAAAUGGUGUUCAUGAUAAUUAUUUAUCAGACACAGAUGACAAUGGAACUUAGAUUAGAAACUAAGUAGUCUGAAAAUUACAUAAACAGAAAAAAUCAUCACAGUUCAGAGUCAACAGAUGUCUGCUCCACUCUGUGAUAUUAUUGACGAUAUAGAAGAUUUGAUAUUAUCACAAGAUAUUACACCUAAAGAAAGAUACAG